RNAcentral lists this ribosomal RNA (459 nucleotides) under uncultured bacterium. RNAcentral's name for it is "partial 16S ribosomal RNA". It matches the Rfam family "Bacterial small subunit ribosomal RNA", at positions 338 to 795 of the family's 1533-position model. The record is from RNAcentral.
CCUACGGGGUGCUGCAGUGAGGAAUAUUGGUCAAUGGCCGAGAGGCUGAACCUGCGAAGUCGCGUGAGGGAAGAAUGUCCUAUGGAUUGUAAACCUCUUUUGUCAGGGAGCAAAGUCACCCACGUGUGGGUGUUGGAGAGUACCUGAAGAAAAAGCAUCGGCAAACUGCGUGCCAGCAGCCGCGGUAAUCCGGAGGAUGCGAGCGUGAGCGGGAUUUGUUGGGGUAAAGGGGUGCGUAGGCGGUUUAUAAAGUCAGCGGUAAAAUCGUGGAGCUCAACUCCAUCCAGCCGUUGAAACUGAUGAUCUUGAGUGGGCGAGAAGUAUGCGGAAUGCGCGGUGUAGCGGUGAAAUGCAUAGAUAUCACGAAGAACUCCGAUUGCGAAGGCAGCAUACCGGCGCCCGACUGACGCUGAAGCACGAAAGCGUGGGUAUCGAACAGGAUUAGAUACCCGAGUAGUC